AGUCCCUGGCAGUGAGCUGAGGCUGUUAAGAAUUGGCGAUUGUGGGGGUAGACCUUGGCAAGGGAAGUCCGCCAUCGUUCUGGGAUCGCCGGGUUCUCAAGGGUGCCCAAGAGAUGUUGGGAGAGGAAGGAUAGUUUGGGGAGAAGCAAAGGAAGUGGUGGUGGAGGAAGAAGCGAAUGCGCAGGCUGAAGCGCAAGAGAAGAAAGAUGAGGCAGAGGUCCAAGUAAACUUUCACACCCAUGGAAGCCACAGGAGCAGAAACAAGGGAAGCCCGAGGCCAGGGACGCUGGUACAAAUUGUUGGACUGCUUGCCUACUGUCUAGAACUUGUCUCAGUGCAUCUGGAACAUCGAUGGCCAUUCUGAUCUCCUCAACCACCUUUGAGAGGCCCACUUUGCUCGUAUCAAAACGGUCCCUUUUGGUCCUUUGCCCUGGACCUUUGACAUACUGGACUAGUUCUAUUCUCAGUUGUGGCUGAAUGUAACAUGUAACAAUAAAUAAUCUCUUUUGCUGUCUUAGCUGAAGAAAAAAAUUA
RNA transcript from Physeter macrocephalus (sperm whale), 534 nucleotides. RefSeq lists it as uncharacterized. NCBI's taxonomy places the organism in Eukaryota, Metazoa, Chordata, Mammalia, Artiodactyla, Physeteridae. The record is from RefSeq and is a predicted model, not a curated record. The transcript has 3 exons.